UACCAGCUCUCCGAGUGGUGUGGAUGUUUAUUGGGCCUAAAGCAUCCGUAGCUGGCUGGACAAGUCCCCUGUUAAAUCCACCGAUUUAAUCGUUGGUGUGCGGGGGAUACUGUUCGGCUAGGGGACGGGAGAGGCAGACGGUAUUUUCGGGGUAGGGGUGAAAUCCUAUAAUCCCGGGAAGACCACCAGUGGCGAAGGCUGUCUGCUAGAACGCGCCCGACGGUGAGGGAUGAAAGCUGGGGGAGCGAACCGGAUUAGAUACCCGGGUAGUCCCAGCUGUAAACGAUGCAGGCUAGGUGUUUGGACGGCCACGUGCCGUUCUAGUGCCGCAGGGAAGCCGUUAAGCCUGCCGCCUGGGGAGUACGGCCGCAAGGCUGAAACUUAAAGGAAUUGGCAGGGGAGCACCACAAGGGGUGAAGCUUGCGGUUU
Molecule: ribosomal RNA, 429 nt
Filed under: uncultured archaeon
Lineage: Archaea
Description: bacterial SSU rRNA
Rfam family: Archaeal small subunit ribosomal RNA
Source: RNAcentral